CCUACGGGAGGCAGCAGUAGGGAAUCUUCGGCAAUGGGGGCAACCCUGACCGAGCAACGCCGCGUGAGUGAAGAAGGUCUUCGGAUCGUAAAGCUCUGUUGUAAGAGAAGAACGUGUGUGAGAGUGGAAAGUUCACACAGUGACGGUAACUUACCAGAAAGGGACGGCUAACUACGUGCCAGCAGCCGCGGUAAUA
This 196-nucleotide ribosomal RNA is filed under the name uncultured bacterium. Its description in RNAcentral is "partial 16S ribosomal RNA". It matches the Rfam family "Bacterial small subunit ribosomal RNA", at positions 338 to 525 of the family's 1533-position model. The record is from RNAcentral.